Molecule: non-coding RNA, 574 nt
Organism: Castor canadensis (American beaver)
Lineage: Eukaryota; Metazoa; Chordata; Mammalia; Rodentia; Castoridae
Source: RefSeq, a predicted model, not a curated record
CAGCGAAGGGAGCAAUCUGACCCCAGCACAUCACUACCCAGACUUCAGAUUCAAGACAUAUGCUCCGCUAGCAUUUCGGUACUUCAGAGAACUUUUUGGUAUCAAGCCUGAUGAUUACUUGUACUCCAUCUGCAGUGAACCUCUGAUAGAACUGUCCAACCCUGGAGCCAGUGGGUCCUUGUUUUUUGUGACAAGUGAUGAUGAAUUUAUCAUCAAAACUGUUCAGCAUAAAGAAGCCGAGUUCCUUCAGAAGCUGCUGCCAGGCUAUUACAUGAAUUUAAACCAGAAUCCCAGGACUCUUUUGCCAAAAUUCUAUGGACUGUACUGCAUGCAGUCAGGAGGCAUCAACAUCAGAAUUGUGGUGAUGAACAAUGUCUUGCCACGAGUCAUGAGGAUGCACUUUACGUAUGACUUGAAAGGCUCAACCUAUAAGCGAAGGGCAUCCCGGAAAGAGAGAGAAAAGUCCAACCCCACAUUUAAGGACCUAGAUUUCCUGCAAGACAUGCACGAAGGGCUGUAUUUUGAUACAGAAACAUAUAAUGCACUCAUGAAGACACUUCAGAGAGACUGCCGG